Phrynosoma platyrhinos (Desert horned lizard) is the source of this 72-nucleotide non-coding RNA. The record is from the annotation of a GenBank genome assembly. Lineage: Eukaryota; Metazoa; Chordata; Lepidosauria; Squamata; Phrynosomatidae.
GCCAGCAUGGUGUAGUGGUUUGAACAUUGGACUAUGACUCUGGAGGCCAGGGUUUGAAUCACAGGUCAGCCA